This is a long non-coding RNA of Melanotaenia boesemani (Boeseman's rainbowfish), 323 nucleotides long. RefSeq lists it as uncharacterized. The record is from RefSeq and is a predicted model, not a curated record. Lineage: Eukaryota; Metazoa; Chordata; Actinopteri; Atheriniformes; Melanotaeniidae. The transcript is spliced from 3 exons.
CAGAACUGGAUAAACAAUCUAAAAACAGCGGGAGCAGAAACAGACAAUGCCAGAGUUUGCAGCGCCCACUUUCUAACAGGUUGUCCUAGUGCAGCAACUGAUGUUAUUCUCCAAGGCUGGGCCCCUACUGUCAAUUUGGGAUACCAAAGGAGUAAGGAGAAGCCACAAACAGAAGCAUCACGGCUGCAGGGGGAAAGAGCCAGGGCAUGGGAGCACCACGGUACUGCUACGGAGAGGGAGGCAGCCAAUUUGGAGGAUGUUCUCUGUGAUGAAGCCUUACAGAGCCAUGAAGAGGAGUGUUUCAAAGAUGCAGAAUGCCAGAU